RNAcentral lists this ribosomal RNA (400 nucleotides) under uncultured bacterium. Its description in RNAcentral is "bacterial SSU rRNA". It matches the Rfam family "Bacterial small subunit ribosomal RNA", at positions 356 to 773 of the family's 1533-position model. The record is from RNAcentral.
GGGGAAUAUUGGACAAUGGGGGCAACCCUGAUCCAGCCAUGCCGCGUGAGUGACGAAGGCCUUAGGGUUGUAAAACUCUUUCAUCCGGGAAGAUAAUGACUGUACCGGAAGAAUAAGCCCCGGCUAACUUCGUGCCAGCAGCCGCGGUAAUACGAAGGGGGCUAGCGUUGUUCGGAAUCACUGGGCGUAAAGCGCACGUAGGCGGAUUGUUAAGUCAGAGGUGAAAUCCCGGAGCUCAACUUCGGAACUGCCUUUGAUACUGGCAAUCUCGAGUCUGGAAGAGGUUAGUGGAACUGCGAGUGUAGAGGUGAAAUUCGUAGAUAUUCGCAAGAACACCAGUGGCGAAGGCGGCUAACUGGUCCAGUACUGACGCUGAGGUGCGAAAGCGUGGGGAGCAAAC